This 7428-nucleotide long non-coding RNA is filed under the name Zea mays. RNAcentral describes it as "long non-coding RNA (ZMAY_LNC002734)". The record is from RNAcentral. Lineage: Eukaryota; Viridiplantae; Streptophyta; Magnoliopsida; Poales; Poaceae.
GCACAAUGCUUCGAGUUUCAAUAAAGAGUAAGUAGUAAUAUUACAGACUAGAGCCAUUUACAUAAUAUAAAUCAAAGUACACAGAAUCGAAACGUAGCCAACGUAAACAACCCACCACAGGCAGCUGACUGGGGGAGGUCGCUAGCCUAAACCACAAACUCGUCGAAGUCUUGGAACUCCUGUGUAUCCGUCUUGUCGCCUUCGUCUUUACCUGAGCAUAGAUUGCACCAAAGGCAACCUGGUGUUUUGUGAAAGCAAGGGUGAGUACACAUCAACAUACUCAGCAAAUGUCCCGUUUGGCUGAAGUGGACUAGCUUUAUUUGGGGUUAAGGUCAAGCAGUUGCUUUUAGUUGGUCAGGUUAUUAUUAUUAAUUGAGAGCCAGGUUUUAACAUUAACCCAAGUUAUUAACCCAAAGUACCCUUUCCAAACGGAAAGAAUACCACUUACCAUUACCAUAGUCAUAACCAGCAUCAUCAUCAUCUGUAAACCAACCAUCUCUGAUCAAGUAUCUCUAAUCAAAGAGGAUCCCAAGGCUGCUCUUAACCGUGAGCACGGCUGAUAUAUCAGUUUCUAACCCUCUGCAGAGGUCGCACACUUUACCCAUGAGCCGUGAUUCCCGUUUUGCCCGGGGAUCAUGACUCCCCAUUGAUCACUUCCAAGGUGGUCCGGCAGGGUAUCACUACGUAGCCUUUACAAAGAUUCCCUAGAGGUCAUAGUCGCCCGUUAGGUUUCUCCAGUUUGAUAAACACAGUACCUCUCCCCGCAGGAGGGUGACUAUCAAAAGCAAAACGAAAGAACCUCGGCGCCCAGUCUCGGCAGAGCAAGCACUGUGCCUGGACCCCAUUGACGGCAAGACGGCGAAGCAACUACACCUCUAGUUCCUCUAAUUAAUUAGCUAAGGGCGCCCCAUUUCACCCUCAUGGUUGCACUGUUAUCCCGGGUUGUCACUCCCCAAACAGGUCCUUACGGAGAGGCACUCAGGAAACAGCCUGAGCCCCCUAAAGUAUCACAGGAACAUCAUCGGGAUAACAUCAUAGUAUCAUAAGUAUUCACAUCAUGUUCAUUGAUUCAAGUAAAGCAAUAGCAUAAUGCUAACCAUGAUAACCCAAAAGGUAAACAAGGAUAAGGUAAAUGGAAAGCUAGUCAAUCCUAAGGUUUCAAUUAAGUAAUGCGGGACAGUGCAUUAAAAGUGAAUGGGACAUAAUAGGUCAGAGGACACUUGCCUUCACGAAAUAGAUACUCAGGGUCUUCAGCCUCGUAGAACUCGAAGAGUUCGAUCACUUGGUCGCCAAAGCUUGACCGUCGAUUCCUCGAAGCUCGAAGAUGGAUCGCAGUCUAUUCGCGACGCGAAGCGAAGACGAACAAGCACCAGCAAACAAACAUAUACAUAUGCAUAAGAACAUUACACCAUACAAAGGAAAACAUAAUCAAAACAUGCAAUACGAAAUAGAGCGCGUUACUACAGUCACGCGAGGAAAAAGAAACACGGCGGUCGAGGCUACGGUCGAGAAGUUAUCGCGUCCAUACUAAGCGAGUAUUAAUCAUAACAUUUAGUUUGAUCUAAUUAUACUAAUCAAUAUUUAUUAAAAUAAAACUAGAGCUGUUACACAAUUUUAAUUAGCUGACCACACUAACGAUUCUUAGUUAAAUAAGUAAAUUAAAUAUCAGUGACUCUAAGCGGGACGAAUUAGUGGAGCGAGAUGAAAUACACGUGAAACAGCACGACCGCACGCGCACCACGUGUCGCAGACAACGUGACGAUGGUGAAUCCAACACGACAGCGUGCAAACGACGCGUGUACACGCGCGACAUAGCACGCUGACAGCACACGAAACAACGCGCGCGACCAGCGCGAACGAGAACGCCACCACACGCGGAACAACACGCGCAACAUGAGAGAAAACUAAAUAGGUGACACGUUUAUACUAAACAGAUGUUAAAUAUAUAAAAAGUAGUUACGUUAAUAUUUGUCAUGUUAAUAUUUAUUAUAAAAGCUCAAGUGGAACACUGCACAUUUAAUCUAGUUAGAACAUUAAUCUAAUAAAUAUCAGUCGAGUGAACCUUAAAUUUACUAUCACGUGUAGAUGUCGAGCGACACACGUGAUCGACACGCGAGAUACACGCGCGAAACAACACUACGACACGCAUACGAUGCGCGCAUAACACGACGACGAGCACGUCACACGCGAAGAGCGCGACGAUAGUGUGACGACACGAGAACUACUAAAUAGAUGUGGCGUCUAAACUAUGCAAGUAUUAAAUUAAAACAUUUAUGUAGUCAUUAAUCACACUAACAUGUAGUUAUAAAUCGUAAAUUAAAACUAUAAAUUAGUUAUUUUAAUGACCAAGAGAUAAACAAUUACUUUAUUAAUUAAAUAGAACAUGUGUCGCGACCAAACAUUGUUUCUAACAUGUAGACACGUUAUUAUCAAACCGACGCAACUAGAACGAGUCGAAACAAAUUUAUAACGGUGCACAAAAUCGUUACACGGUUAAUGUAACUGGACUGGAAUGAAUCGAAUAUCUAACACAAAAGUUAUACAUAUUUUAAUAAAUAGCGCACUAACGAUGAUGUGGCUAGCAUCUCCUUCCUCUUAUCUCUAUUGAGCUCAUUCACGUAGGGAGAAAAGAAGGCACGGUGACCUGGGAAACUGCCCAGGCAGCCGGCUGCCGAUAAGAGAGAAGGAGAGAGAGGGAUCAGAAGGAGAGAGAGAGAGAGGCUCGGCGAGGGCGCCGUUGAGGUCUGCACGCCGGGGCGCCGGGCGGGCUCAUCUAUGGGAGAACCUGACACCAGCACCGACGAGCAAGAUUAGGACAGAGACCCUUGAUACAACAGCAGCAGGCUCGAUUUGAAUCUUACCAAGCCGAUUCUGCUUGGCAAGAGAUUGAUUCCAGAGGAAACAAGGUUGAUUCAAGGCAAAAUGGAAUCAGCAGCUUGAUCUACGUGGGGAAGAUCUCAGAAGACUAAUCAAGUUGGGCAUCAAGGACCUCUAUCUGGCACCACGAAGCUUGUUCUGCAUCAGGACAUUCAAUUCGAAGACUAGCAGGCAACUUGGGGCAGCACGAUGCUUCUACCAAGGGUGGUUGGGGUCAGGGAAGAGAGGGGGUCGGGCCCUUGGCUGCUGGCAGCAGCACGCCGGCAAUGGCCAAGCUGCUGUGCACGGGGAGAGAGGAGGGCUGAGCACCACCGCCCAUCCUCGCGGUGAGCAGGGACCGGACGCCUGGCGCGCGGGCGAGCCGCCAAGCUAGCGCGGUGCCACGCCGGUCGACCGCCGCGCCGCGCCCUGCACGGGGGCCACGCUCGACCAUGGAUCUAGCACGGGGGAGGGCAGCCAUGGCCAGGGGCGAGCCAGCCGAGGGGCAUGGACGGGCUGGAGCCGCGCCAUGGGCCUCGCUGCGCCCGCGACUGGUGCGCGAGCCGAGCUUGGCCGCGACCUGGGGAAAGAAGGGCGCCUAGGGAGCUCAGCUGCGUGCUGGCCGGUGGGGAGGCCGCGGCAGGGGCGAGCCGCCGCGCAGGGGCUCCUAGCCGCGACGCCGGGCGGGGCCGCCGGACUUGGCCGCACAACGGAGGGAAAGGGAUCCACGCGAGGUCUCGCCGAGAGGAAACGAACUGCUCGGCCGGGGGACAGAGAGGACUACUCGUCGGGGAAGGAGAACGACGUGACGCGGGGCUGCAGGGAGGGUCCGUCGAGGGGGAGAGAGGAUGGGGAAGGGAAGAGAGGGGAGAGGACUCACCGGGAACCGCCAUGUGCUGGGACGACAGCUUCUACGCGAUUUGAUCUGGGGAAGGAGACUAGAAAUUAUGUGACGGCUGGGUGGUUGUAUAAAAGGGAACAUGGGAGGAGGUUGCCAAACUCAUCAUCAACUGUGUUGCGACCGAGCAAGAGAGGCGAUUGCGAAUACGACGAGGGUAAACACGAGCAACACGACGUUUGCGAGGAAAUACAUUUUAAUCAUCCCGCGAAAAGGACACGAGAUCUGGAACAGGCUCGACGAGAGGAAGAAAUAUAUGUUAUCGUGUUUUCGAAAUACUAAAUUUAGGCAUUUAAAUAUUAGAAAGGCUGAAAUUCAUAUUUUAUGCCCGAAGAAAGUUCCGAAGAUUCCAAAAACUCUCGGGAACAUCUUCGAGAUAUUUUAACCUGUUUCAAUAACAUUUUGCACUCAUAAACACUAUGCAUCUGCAUGAAUGCAACACUCAAGCACCUCUGAGGUUUUAUUUUACUAAGCUUACACCUAGAUAUGAAAUAAAAUAUUUCUCCACUUUUAGGAAAAAGAGAAGGAAAGCGAAGAGCUGAGGGAGUAACACCUGAAUUUGGUGGAUAUUUGAAAAGAAAUUUUAUACCCCCAAAUUCAGGGUGUUACAAAUCUAACCCCCUUAACAGAAUCUCGCCCUCGAGAUUCAAGAAGAGGCUAGCAGAAAAAAAAAGAUUCGUUCAUUGGUUGAUCAUGGAUUUCUUGGGUUAACUUUGACUCUGCGAACUUAACUUGGGGGUUGGUUUGCUUUGACUUUCAGGUGCUUGAGACCGAUCGAUUCAAUUCUUGAGGAUCUCUUGGACCUGUGGGUUAGGACCCACACACGCUUCCGUUGCGCCACUUUGAUCUUGCUGGCUGAUGUUGAUUGCAUUGUCUUCAUUGGGGUUUGCGGCUAACCCCCUUAACAGGAGCGUAGAUACCCACUUGGUGAAGACGCUGUUGACUCUGAUCUUUAUUGAUUAAGAGAGGUUGUAGGAUGCCAACUGGGCAGGUGCCAAAGGAAAGGCUACAGAUAGAAAAGGUAAGCAUAGAUGGAUUAAAGAGAGAAAAGGGAGGGCACCCAGCUACCAAACUCUAUAGCACUCACCUAGCAAACUGAUGCCAUUACGGACCAACGGCCACAACACAUAAACACUCAACACAAAGAAGCAAAUCAGUCAUCACACAAGGACAAACAACACAAGCAUACAACAACACACAUCUCGCUGCUAUACGUAGCUUUUAAUUAAAUGGUGGUCUUUCUUGAAAAGGGAAUAACUACUCUCUAAUGUUGUUGGGGGGCAAUGAGAAGAACAAGACGUGUAGGAUAGGGACACUAGCACAGUAAAGGAUGGAGUUUAAGGAUUGUAAUCGACAAGGGAGAGAAUGAAACCAAGGUCAGAAUAGGUAAAACACCAUUCUCGAAUCGAGAUGGAAAAGAUGAUAUUUCGAAAGGUAGACAUAAGAUAACAUCAUGGAAAGAUCUAGAGGUUACAAAUGUAAGGGAAGUAACAGGCAAAAGUCCACCAAAAGAUCGAGUUAAGGCAAGACUUGUAACGCGACAGAGGAAAAGGGAACGAACAAGAGCGGGAUGGGUAAGGCAACACUCUUGAACUGAAAAGGGAUAGACAUCUUUAAAAUGCUGGUACAUGAUAAGCAUCAAGGUAAAGGUCGAGUGACGACAAGGGUUAAGGUGAUAACGGACAAACAUGCAACAAAGGAUGUAUUUUAGACAAAACUUGCAAGGCGUCGAAGAAGGGGGAGCAAUCAAUGGUGAAGUGGGUGAGGCAUUACUCUCGAACAGGGACAGAAAAGAGGAGGCUUUAAAAGGUAGGUUCAAAGUAAGCGUGUAAGGGUAUGGAUAUUAAGGUGAUAACGGACAAGAAUGUAAGAGAGGAGGUAAAUGGGCAUAAGAACAAAGGGUAUAAGUACCACAAAGGAUGGAGUUAAGAUAGGACCUGUAAAUGGAAAAGAAGAGGGUACGUCCAAGGGCCAGAUAGGUAAACUGCCACUCUCAAACUUUCUCAAAAUAAAGGAGAGGCUUUUAAAGGAUAAGUUCAAGGCAAGAAUUUAGGUAGAAGACAUAAAUAUCACAAGGGUCAGAGGAGAAAAUAGACAAGGGCAUAGGAGAAAAGAUGAAGGCACAGAAGAGCCAGUGGUAUAAGUACAAUAAAAAAUGGAGUUACAUCAAGGCUUACACGCGGUGAAGAAGAGGAUAUUGCCAAGGGUGAGAUAAGUAAAACACCACUCUCAAAUUGAGAUAGAAGACUGAAGAUUUUAGAUAACAGACAUAAUGUAAUCACAAGGCAGGAUAGAGUGAUGAGAAGAGUAAAGGAAAUAACAAACAAAAACACAACAAAGUAUAGAGUUAAAAACUCACAGGUGACAAAGAAGAGGAUACGACCAUGGGAAAAGUAGGUAAAGUACGAUGCUCAAAUUGAGAUGGGAAAAGGAGAAGAUUUUAAAUGCCGGUAUAAGAUAAACCUCGAGUAAGAUAUAGAGGUGUCUAAGGUGAAGGUGAUAAUAACAAAAGUGAUGACAAAUGUUAGAGUUAAGGCAAGACUCGCGGAAUGGCUAAGUGGAGAAAACAAACAAGGUAAGAUAGGUGAUGUUUCAAUAGAAUAGUUGAAGUAAGAAUUCAUUACCGAGGGAAGUUAUAAGGAAGCAACGAGAUUACCACGGGUGUGCAAAAUAAAAUGAUCGCUCAUGGAUUAUUAGGAAACAAGGGUGGUCAAGGAUAUGUUAACAGAAAUGUCUUGAACAGUUAUUGGGGUAUGAAAAUAAGCAUACAUAAGAAUAUAAAAGUAUGCAAGAUUCCAAGGAUACGAGCAUACUAAGACCAAGGGCAUAGAAAUUGCCGAAAGAUAGCGACUUAACAACAGAAUAAGAAAUGAUCUCAGAAGACAAGAAGGUCAUGGACACAUAAACUGAAUUGUUUAAAUAGGCAAUAGAGGUACAAGGGUAAGUACUUUAGAUUAAGGGAUAAAGAUAUCAAAAAUGUAAGUAUACGAGCAUGUCAAUAACAAAAUGGAAUAGAGGUCAAAUGGUAGCAAUUUAAUAAUGGAUGAGGAAAGAGUCCCAAAAGACUAAGGGCUAUGGUCAGGGGGCAUCUACAAAGAUGUCGCAAGCACAAGAGUGAGAUCAGAUCUAGUAGAUUGAGAAAAGUAUAGACCAUACGAGAAUAAAAGUACUUUUGGCAAGGGGGCAUAUAGGAGCACAACAUAGAAUUAGUCGAGGUGACUAAUAUUUUGAAGCAGAAUCAAGGAUGAGGUGAAGUAAUGGUCAAUAAGUCCUUAAAACGGCCAAUGCUACUCUAGGAUAGCGGUCCUACAGUCAGCAAGGCUUUGAUACCACUUAUGUCACACCCGGUUUUAGAAGGUAAACCGAAUGCGAACCAUGUACGUGCCAGGAUCAGAAAUUCACGUACACAGCGAUUACAUAAAUGACUCAUCAUAGCACAAUGCUUCGAGUUUCAAUAAAGAGUAAGUAGUAAUAUUACAGACUAGAGCCAUUUACAUAAUAUAAAUCAAAGUACACAGAAUCGAAACGUAGCCAACGUAAACAACCCACCACAGGCAGCUGACUGGGGGAGGUCGCUAGCCUAAACCACAAACUCGUCGAAGUCUUGGAACUCCUGUGUAUCCGUCUUGUCGCCUUCGUCUUUACCUGAGCAUAGAUUGCACCAAAGGCAACCU